Molecule: long non-coding RNA, 681 nt
Filed under: Olea europaea (common olive)
Lineage: Eukaryota; Viridiplantae; Streptophyta; Magnoliopsida; Lamiales; Oleaceae
Description: long non-coding RNA (OEUR_LNC003298)
Source: RNAcentral
CGUGCUUUCAUCUCAUAGAUGGUUACCCAUUGGUGAGAUUUUUAUAGACGUUUAUCCAAAUUAUUAGGAGCUUCAAUUAACAAUAUUGAUAUGUUCGUUUGUUAUAUAUUAUUGGACACAGCUAGACUUAACGAAUAAGAUUUUAACUUCUUUUUCUUGAUACUAGCAUGCAGUCAUCCCCACCAAGCAUCUCAUUGAGAGAUCAUUUGAAAUGCAUAAGUGAAAUUUGUCUUUUUUUUGUCCUCGGCCUUGUCAAGAUGCACGAUCAAAUAUUACUCUUCCACCAACUCAAAGCGUAAAGCAUGGUCUUCAACGAUGAAAACUAACUUUUUCUCAAGUUGCAUCUUUCUCUUUCAAUCUUCAGCCCCCAGACCAGUUCAGGUGGUGAUUGUUUGUGAAUUGCCAAAUCACCUUAUGGCACUAUAUCUACCUCGUUUUCAUUUGCUGUGUUGGUGGUGCAGAGGAAAAUAAUAAACUCCAUGGCAUCUGAGCAGUUGAAAUGACUCCCUUGGCACGAGUGAGAUUAUAUUGUUCCAACCUAGAUGUGAGGUUAUCUUUUAGAAUUGUUCCGGCUCUUCUUUUUGAGUCGAAAUUUAUGAAGUUGGAUCUUUCCGUAGUUGCAAUCUUAGUGAUUUCAUUGCUUCGAGGUAGACGCCAUUUGGCACUCCACUUCGAAUUAUA